CUGGAGCAGGAGUGGCGGGAUCUAGGGUAGGACAGGCGCGAUCUUGUCGUGCUGGUCCUCCUCUUCGUUGCUGCUGCGCUGCUCCCUCCUCCUCGUGGCUGCCUUUUCUCCUCCCAGGUAGGGAGCAGACAUGCAGAUAUGGGAGAAGGUGCUCAUGGGACUCGAUGCCGAUGUCAAGGUCAGAAUCUACUGCUCCUCACACACUUUUUUUUGGUGUUCCUGUCUGAGAUGUGGUAUGAGUAAUAAAAACACACUACCGAGGUCUUGGUUGCUUAUAAUGUUUGACAAUGAAUAUCAAUGAGGUUUAAGUGAGAGUGAAUCUCUCCUUGAACAGACUGUACAUCUAGGUUGAUACCUUCACUCCUGCAACCGAGAGAGGGCUUCCAGUCACAAGGAUUGUUAGACACAUGCCCCUGCAGGAUAUUCUUGCUCGUGUGGUUGGCGAUGUUCCUAUAAUGAGCAAUCACCAUGUAGUCGAUUUUACAGACGCUGGCAACAAGCUGAAUGAACAGGUGCUAAUGUGGAUAUACAUUUCAUUCCAAAAACUCAGAGGGUUGAUUCAAUUCCAAACAUGCAGUCAAUUAUUGCUGCUUUAGAUGGGGAAAUGGUGGCUCAUGGAGAUCUGGGUGUUCAACUUCCAGUUGAGGAAGUACCUUUACUACAGGUCCCUGAGUUGGUUAAUGUUGAUUUUGCUCAGGUACGGUCCAUCUUAGGGAUCAAAGAGAGGUGGCUCAAGCGAUACGGGAUGGUGGCGAGCAGCGGCGACCGCAGCGGACGGUGCAGCAGACUGGACAUGCUUUAGAAAUGGCGGUCAAGACAACAUGUCUUGGGGAGUGGUGCGCCUGUCAAGCGACAGCUUCUGAUUCCGACACAACAAGGACUGAAUUGGGAUUUGUUGUUUGGACGUUCGACAAGCUUGACAAAAUACUCCUAAACAGCAUUUGGCUGUAGGACUGAAGUUGGAGUAAUUGCUAGGACAAUAUAUGACAGGUAUGACUGGCAUCAUUUGGGUUGUUUGCAUGGUCGGGAGUUUUCGUUGCAACUGCUAGGUUGGUCAUGUUCUACUCCUUGCAACUGUUGGAGUAGAUAUAUGUGUUAGCAUAAAAACCAAAACUAUUUCGAGGGACAUGUGUUCUUUUCAGGACAAUAUAUGACAGGUUGUUAACUCCGGCUCUCCUUGGAUGUGACGUGCGUUGUAGCUACGUGCUGGUCUUCGACGGCAAGAUCGCCGACUUGAACAGUCCCCCAACACCGCCGCGCCCCUCCACCCCCUCCAAUCCAGCAGCUUCGGGGCAUUCCUCCUUUGCUCCAGCGGCAGUGAAAGGGAGCUCCAGCAGCGGCGGACACCGGGUUACAGCAGCGGCGGCGAGAGGCGGCUCCAGCAGCUUCGUUCUCCUCGAGCUCCGGCGGCGGAGAGAGGGGGGCUCCAGCAGCAUCGGACAACGGCUUCCAGCAGCAGCGGCGAGAGGCGG
This is a long non-coding RNA of Lolium rigidum, 1472 nucleotides long. RefSeq lists it as uncharacterized. Lineage: Eukaryota; Viridiplantae; Streptophyta; Magnoliopsida; Poales; Poaceae. The record is from RefSeq and is a predicted model, not a curated record. The transcript has 10 exons.